AAGGGACUGUCCAAUGGAUUAUGGUCUGAACAAAAUAUAAAAUUAUUGUUUUAGAUAUUAAAAACGAUUAUCGCCUUUGAUUUAAGGAUAUAAAAACUCAAAGCAGACUAAAGGAAGUAUAACACAAACCAACACAUAAGCCCAAGCGGAUGGGAAUUCCAUAUUAUAUUUCAAAAACGCCGCUCGACGUUUUUGACCUAAAAAUAAAUGUAGCUGAAAAUCAGCUGACAAGUCACGUGGUACAUGGUACUGUCAUUUAUUUUUGGCAUAGAAAUUACAUUAUUUCUAAAGAAAGAGAUUUAGCUUGUUGAGCAAAUAAUUGAUUUUCAUUGAAUAUUUUUGAUAAACCAAUAAAAUAUACUUCAUAUUUAAAUCAAUAUUUUUAUUGGAAAAUCACUUUUCACAAAUACGAAUAUGCGGUCGAAAAGAAUUCAAGAUGGUUCGGACAAAAACAAGUGCUAGCGCUAAGACUAAAAAAAAACAAGAGAUGCAAGGUACAGGCGUAAUAAAAGGGAAAGGAUAAUAGACAUUGGUAUUCAGUGUGAUCGAUGGAGAAGAGUUAAAGAAGCUACUGGGAUUGAAAAGGACGAGAAAAUGAUGGAAAUAUUGAUCGAUGCAACUACUUCUGAACUAGAGAGCUUCAACAAUCAUCUUUUGAUACGCUCCAAACCAAAGCGAAAUGCUUUCAGCUGUGCAGGUGUCAGUUAGCAGCAAUAGAUUAUUCAAAACACUUGAAUCGUCCUGUUUUGUUGGACAAAGAAGGAAAUGAGAGGAGAAAAAAGGUGUACUCAAAAGCUGCUUGUAAUUGGAGCACAAGGCCUGUGAAAAAAACAUACAUAACCGGUUUGAUCACUGAAGUUAUAAAUGAAUUCACCAUAGGCAAGAAAAGAAUAAGUGGCAAAUGUGAACAGCUGCCUGAAGACUCCAAAAGAAUUAGGUCAACUAUAGCCCCCGUCACCCCUCCACCUACAUCAAUACUUGGAGAUCAGCAUGUCUCUAGAUUGAGAAAAACGAAAAAAUGAAUUGUUGCCCAAGACGUGUUUGAUAUUCAUUUGAAGUUGACGCAGAAGUUAUCUUUGUUAGAUAACUAUUAAGUUUCACAUCUUUAGUGUAAAUAUAAUUUUAGAAGUGUUUUGAAAAUGUACAAUCUUACAUUAUGUUAUAAAUAAUGAAUGCUCUUGGUUGUACAAUGCAAUUACAUUUUUUAGGAAGUUUUAAUAUUGAAUUUAGCAUAAAAUAUUUUUUUUA
Molecule: long non-coding RNA, 1248 nt
Organism: Dreissena polymorpha
Lineage: Eukaryota; Metazoa; Mollusca; Bivalvia; Myida; Dreissenidae
Exons: 4
Source: RefSeq, a predicted model, not a curated record